AGCGUUUACUUGGUGAUAUUCUGGGGUACAUUUGCGGAUGGUAUAUAUGGCCCCGAGAGUGAAGCACUAUCUC
Molecule: transfer RNA, 73 nt
Filed under: Candidozyma auris
Lineage: Eukaryota; Fungi; Ascomycota; Pichiomycetes; Serinales; Metschnikowiaceae
Description: [Candida] auris tRNA-Ala
Source: RNAcentral